GAAAUGCGAUAAUUAAUGUGAAUUGCAGAAUUCAGUGAAUCAUCGAGUCUUUGAACGCACAUUGCGCCCCCUGGUAUUCCGGGGGGCAUGCCUGUCCGAGCGUCAUUGCUGCCCUCAAGCACGGCUUGCGUGUUGGGCUUCCGUCCCUGGCAACGGGGACGGGCCCAAAAGGCAGUGGCGGCACCAUGUCUGGUCCUCGAGCGUAUGGGGCUUUGUCACCCGCUCCCGUAGGUCCAGCUGGCAGCUAGCCUCGCAACCAAUCUUUUUAACCAGGUUGACCUCGGAUCAGGUAGGGAUACCCGCUGAACUUAAGC
Molecule: unclassified non-coding RNA, 314 nt
Filed under: plant metagenome
Description: partial contains 5.8S ribosomal RNA, internal transcribed spacer 2, and large subunit ribosomal RNA
Rfam family: 5.8S ribosomal RNA (bases 1-105)
Source: RNAcentral